AGGGGUGUAGCUCAGCUGGAAGAGCAGCGGUCUCCAAAACCGCAGGUCGCGGGUUCGAAUCCUGCCGCCCCUGCCA
This 76-nucleotide transfer RNA is filed under the name Chloroflexota bacterium. RNAcentral describes it as "Chloroflexi bacterium tRNA-Trp". It matches the Rfam family "tRNA". Rfam says of the family: Transfer RNA (tRNA) molecules are approximately 80 nucleotides in length. Their secondary structure includes four short double-helical elements and three loops (D, anti-codon, and T loops). Lineage: Bacteria; Bacillati; Chloroflexota. The record is from RNAcentral. RNAcentral also lists the same sequence under 1 other name.